CAAGUCCACUACGAUAAAGGAUUAGCGAUCCACAUCGGCCCCGAGCCGUGCGCUGGCAUCGGUGAGGAUGUCGGCGAAGCGUCGGCAGGGGAACAUGCAGGCCAGCCAUUGAGGCGCGAAAUAAAGUUGAAUCCGGGUGCCGACGCUGCGUGUUGGGCGGAAGGCAACACGGUAGAACGCGUUAUCGCAAGCGAUCUACUGACCCGGCAACGUCUGAGAACC
Molecule: non-coding RNA, 222 nt
Filed under: Candidatus Methylobacter favarea
Lineage: Bacteria; Pseudomonadati; Pseudomonadota; Gammaproteobacteria; Methylococcales; Methylococcaceae
Source: RNAcentral